GAUGAACGCUAGCUACAGGCUUAACACAUGCAAGUCGAGGGGCAGCGGGAUUGAAGCUUGCUUCAAUUGCCGGCGACCGGCGCACGGGUGAGUAACGCGUAUCCAAACCUUCCGUACACUCAGGGAUAGCCUUUCGAAAGAAAGAUUAAUACCUGAUGGUAUCUUAAGCACACAUGUAAUUAAGAUUAAAGGUAUUCCGGUAGACGAUGGGGAUGCGUUCCAUUAGAUAGUAGGCGGGUAACGGCCCACCUAGUCUUCGAUGGAUAGGGGUUCUGAGAGGAAGGUCCCCCANAUUGGAACUGAGACACGGUCCAAACUCCUAC
RNAcentral lists this ribosomal RNA (323 nucleotides) under uncultured bacterium. Its description in RNAcentral is "bacterial SSU rRNA". It matches the Rfam family "Bacterial small subunit ribosomal RNA", at positions 28 to 342 of the family's 1533-position model. The record is from RNAcentral.